This 1349-nucleotide ribosomal RNA is filed under the name uncultured bacterium. RNAcentral's name for it is "bacterial SSU rRNA". It matches the Rfam family "Bacterial small subunit ribosomal RNA", at positions 43 to 1381 of the family's 1533-position model. The record is from RNAcentral.
CAGGCUUAACACAUGCAAGUCGAGGGGCAGCGGGGAGGAAGCUUGCUUUCUCCGCCGGCGACCGGCGCACGGGUGAGUAACACGUAUGCAACCUGCCCCUGUCAGGGGGACAACCCGCCGAAAGGCGGGCUAAACCCGCGUACAUGCCACCGGGGCAUCCCGGAGGCAGGAAAGGCUUCGGCCGGACAGGGAUGGGCAUGCGGCGCAUUAGGCAGUAGGCGGGGUAACGGCCCACCUAACCGACGAUGCGUAGGGGUUCUGAGAGGAAGGUCCCCCACACUGGUGCUGAGACACGGACCAGACUCCUACGGGAGGCAGCAGUGAGGAAUAUUGGUCAAUGGUCGGGAGACUGAACCAGCCAAGCCGCGUGAGGGAGGAAGGUACAGAGUAUCGUAAACCUCUUUUGUCAGGGAACAAAGACUGGGACGCGUCCCCGGAUGAGUGUACCUGAAGAAAAAGCAUCGGCUAACUCCGUGCCAGCAGCCGCGGUAAUACGGAGGAUGCGAGCGUUAUCCGGAUUUAUUGGGUUUAAAGGGUGCGCAGGCGGUCUGUUAAGUCAGCGGUCAAAGCCCGGGGCUCAACCCCGGCCCGCCGUUGAAACUGGCAGUCUCGAGUUGGAGAGAAGUAUGCGGAAUGCGCGGUGUAGCGGUGAAAUGCAUAGAUAUCGCGCAGAACUCCGAUUGCGAAGGCAGCAUGCCGGCUCCACACUGACGCUGAGGCACGAAAGCGUGGGUAUCGAACAGGAUUAGAUACCCUGGUAGUCCACGCAGUAAACGAUGAAUGCUGGCUGUCCGGGGGGACUGACCCCUGGGUGGCGAAGCGAAAGCGAUAAGCAUUCCACCUGGGGAGUACGCCGGCAACGGUGAAACUCAAAGGAAUUGACGGGGGCCCGCACAAGCGGAGGAACAUGUGGUUUAAUUCGAUGAUACGCGAGGAACCUUACCCGGGCUCAAACGGGGAGUGGCGCAGGCAGAGACGCCUGUUUCCCACGGGACACUCCCCGAGGUGCUGCAUGGUUGUCGUCAGCUCGUGCCGUGAGGUGUCGGCUUAAGUGCCAUAACGAGCGCAACCCCCGCGUGCAGUUGCUAACAGUCAACGCUGAGGACUCUGCACGGACUGCCGGCGCAAGCCGCGAGGAAGGCGGGGAUGACGUCAAAUCAGCACGGCCCUUACGUCCGGGGCGACACACGUGUUACAAUGGGUGGUACAGCGGGAAGCCAGGCGGCGACGCCGAGCGGAACCCGAAAUCCACUCUCAGUUCGGAUCGGAGUCUGCAACCCGACUCCGUGAAGCUGGAUUCGCUAGUAAUCGCGCAUCAGCCAUGGCGCGGUGAAUACGUUCCCGGGCCU